AAGUCGUAACAAGGUUUCCGUAGGUGAACCUGCGGAAGGAUCAUUAAUGAGAAGCGGCCUCGCGGCCGUGGGGGCUUCGGUCCCCGACUCACACCCUCUGUUUACAUACGUUUGUUGCUUUGGCGGGCCUUGGGGUCAUACCCAUGCGUCUCAAGGGCUGCUCCGGUGACGGACAGCCUGGCGCGUGCGCCCGUCAAAGGCCCUAUCAAUUCUGUUUAUCAGUGUCGUCCGAGUAAAAACCAAAUAAAUUAAAACUUUCAACAACGGAUCUCUUGGUUCUG
Molecule: unclassified non-coding RNA, 281 nt
Filed under: air metagenome
Description: partial contains small subunit ribosomal RNA, internal transcribed spacer 1, and 5.8S ribosomal RNA
Rfam family: Eukaryotic small subunit ribosomal RNA (bases 1-46)
Source: RNAcentral